ACGUAGGGGGCAAGCGUUAUCCGGAAUCACUGGGCGUAAAGGGUGCGUAGGCGGCCGAUAAAGUCAGGGGUGAAAGGCUACGGCUCAACCGUAGUAAGCCUUUGAAACUUAUUGGCUUGAGUGCAGGAGAGGAGAGUGGAAUUCCUAGUGUAGCGGUGAAAUGCGUAGAUAUUAGGAGGAACACCAGUGGCGAAGGCGACUCUCUGGACUGUAACUGACGCUGAGGCACGAAAGCGUGGGGAGCGAACAG
This 250-nucleotide ribosomal RNA is filed under the name uncultured prokaryote. RNAcentral's name for it is "partial 16S ribosomal RNA". It matches the Rfam family "Bacterial small subunit ribosomal RNA", at positions 525 to 775 of the family's 1533-position model. The record is from RNAcentral.